UAACUAGCGGUGUUUGUGGCACAUUAAAUUUUGAUUUUAAUGGUGAUGACAUAUAGUCAUUCUAGUUAA
RNAcentral lists this transfer RNA (69 nucleotides) under Charinus carajas. Its description in RNAcentral is "tRNA-Gln". The record is from RNAcentral. Lineage: Eukaryota; Metazoa; Arthropoda; Arachnida; Amblypygi; Charinidae.